AAAUAGAUACCCUGGUAGUCCACGCCGUAAACGAUGAGUGCUAAGUGUUAGAGGGUUUCCGCCCUUUAGUGCUGCAGCUAACGCAUUAAGCACUCCGCCUGGGGAGUACGGUCGCAAGACUGAAACUCAAAGGAAUUGACGAGGGCCCGCACAAGCGGUGGAGCAUGUGGUUUAAUUCGAAGCAACGCGAAGAACCUUACCAGGUCUUGACAUCCUCUGACAACUCUAGAGAUAGAGCGUUCCCCUUCGGGGGACAGAGUGACAGGUGGUGCAUGGUUGUCGUCAGCUCGUGUCGUGAGAUGUUGGGUUAAGUCCCGCAACGAGCGCAACCCUUGAUCUUAGUUGCCAGCAUUUAGUUGGGCACUCUAAGGUGACUGCCGGUGACAAACCGGAGGAAGGUGGGGAUGACGUCAAAUCAUCAUGCCCCUUAUGACCUGGGCUACACACGUGCUACAAUGGAUGGUACAAAGGGCUGCAAGACCGCGAGGUCAAGCCAAUCCCAUAAAACCAUUCUCAGUUCGGAUUGU
This 527-nucleotide ribosomal RNA is filed under the name uncultured bacterium. RNAcentral describes it as "bacterial SSU rRNA". It matches the Rfam family "Bacterial small subunit ribosomal RNA", at positions 776 to 1301 of the family's 1533-position model. The record is from RNAcentral.